This 856-nucleotide ribosomal RNA is filed under the name Phellodon niger. RNAcentral describes it as "eukaryotic LSU rRNA". The stretch from base 295 to 448 matches the Rfam family "5.8S ribosomal RNA". Lineage: Eukaryota; Fungi; Basidiomycota; Agaricomycetes; Thelephorales; Thelephoraceae. The record is from RNAcentral.
UCUUGGUCAUUUAGAGGAAGUAAAAGUCGUAACAAGGUUUCCGUAGGUGAACCUGCGGAAGGAUCAUUAAUGAAAUCUAUACGUCUGAGAGAGGUUGUUGCUGGUCCCCUCCUGGGGUGCAUGUGCACGCUUUGAUCGGAUGUUUAUGUCCUCCUUUACACCUGUGCACCAACUGUAGCUGGGGAUGAUCACGGAGCUGUCGGUUCCGAAUGCCCUCGCUAUGAAUGUUUUUACACCCUAUAAUAAAGUUUUUUUGGAAUGUUUCAUCUGCGUGUAACAGCGCGAAUUAAAUACAACUUUCAGCAACGGAUCUCUUGGCUCUCGCAUCGAUGAAGAACGCAGCGAAAUGCGAUAAGUAAUGUGAAUUGCAGAAUUCAGUGAAUCAUCGAAUCUUUGAACGCACCUUGCGCUCCUUGGUAUUCCGAGGAGCAUGCCUGUUUGAGUGUCAUGAAAUUAUCAACUGCUUUGGCUUUUGUUUCAAAGUGAAGUUGGAUUUGGAGUGUUUGCCGGCGUGUUCGGCUCCUCUCAAAAGCAUCGAACCUUCUCUUGGGGCAGAAAGUAUCUUUGAUGUGAUAAUCAUCUACGUCGCAGAGAAAGCUCCGAGUGGAAGUGUGCUUGUGUGGAAGGGAAAGUUGUUAUGACCUCCCUCUUCCCUCAUUUGACAAGUUCGACCUCAAAUCAGGCAGGACUACCCGCUGAACUUAAGCAUAUCAAUAAGCGGAGGAAAAGAAACUAACAAGGAUUCCCCUAGUAACUGCNAGUGAAGCGGGAAAAGCUCAGAUUUGAAAUCUGGCGUGCCUCCGGUCGUCCGAGUUGUAGUCUGGAGAAGCGUCUUCCGUGCUGGACCGUGUACAAG